This is a long non-coding RNA of Gambusia affinis (western mosquitofish), 2032 nucleotides long. RefSeq lists it as uncharacterized. The transcript has 4 exons. The record is from RefSeq and is a predicted model, not a curated record. NCBI's taxonomy places the organism in Eukaryota, Metazoa, Chordata, Actinopteri, Cyprinodontiformes, Poeciliidae.
AGUGUAACCAAUCCGAAUUAUGACUUCCUACAUGGGAUACUUUUUAUUUGUUUUACCUCUUAAGCAUAUGUUCUGUCACUACACGAUUCAAUAACUACUUUAUACUGAAAGCUGAAGCUGUCUUCAAAUAAUCCACGGAGAACUCAUUGUACGUGUUUUUUUUUUAUAUUUGUAAAGCCAUGAAAUCUAAAUUUUGAUCUAGUGCUUUGUUUUAUUUUAGGAUUUAUCAGUCUUUUCAUAUUCAGUCAGGUUCAAGAACUCCAAUGUUGUGUAUUAUUUAUAAUUGCCUGUAUAUCUUUUAUUUUGGAAAGCUGUCUUUUUUUAUUCCCUGUUGCUUCAGUGUUGUCUUGUCAUCAUUUUGUUUUGAAUCUUGAUCUGUUUUUUCCUGCUGGGUUGAAUCUGGUUCGUUUUCCUUUCUUUUUCUUGUUUCCCUCGUUAAUUUCUGUUGCCUUUCCUCUCACCUGCAUCUUGUUUCUAAUCAACAACCAGCUCCUUAUUUUUCAGUAAACUCUUCUUAAAUUCCCCAGUCAGUCAGAUCCUAUUUUAUGGUUUUUCCUGUACUGUAUUAUUUUGGAUUUACCCCUGGACUUCAGUUUUUGGACGUUUUUUUUGUGUGUUUAUUUUUACCUGUCUCCUUCACCGUUUGUGACAAAAUGAAUAGAAAGAAAUUGUUCAACGAGCCCUUUAUCCACGGUUCUUCUGAUUUCUUUUUACUUUAAUUAAUCAAUGCUCAACCGAAUCCCGAUGGGAAAAAAAGCACCUGGCCGCCAGCUUAAGGAAACUACAGCAGAUCUACCAGAGCUUCUCUAGAAGGCGAACUUCCACUCCCUGAGGCCGGCGAUCCUGUCCCAAAACCCGGAGAGCCACCGAGAGAACCCGGUGAUCCAGUGCCAAUCCCAGGGGAAAUGGUUCCUGGAGAUCCAGAGAAGGAACCUGGCGAUGAGAUCCCCGAGCCUGGGGAAGGGGUACCAGUGGAGCUGGGCAUGGACCCGGCUCCCUCUGGCGCUGGACGAGUGCCGGAGCGGCUGGUUUCCUCGUAGGCCUUCCGGCACCAUGUGUCCGGGAAAAUGGAGGCCGAUUUUGUUGGGGAGGAGUCAGGCAUCUGUGAGAAUGUAUAGAUAGUUUCACUGUUAGGAAAGACAUGCUAUAUCUUAAAGGCGACCCAUUAUGGUUCCUUAAACAGGUUAGGAAAAGUCUGUGGGCUGAACGAAACAUGUUCAUUACAUUUUUUAUACAAAAUCAUUCUUGGACAAUGAGGUUUUAAUGUGUUCAGUCCUGAAUAUUUUGAACUCCUUUCAGUUUGAGCUGUUUUAGGGCCUCUUGUCACUUUAAAUCCAAAUAAGCUGCUGCUGGCCACGACCCCCCCUCAACAUUGACACUCAAACAGAUGUGCAACUAUACAACCGUAGAUCUUUGAAAAGCAGAAGUGGAGUCUCAUGCACAAGCACCAAGAAUGCAGCAAGUGGUUUCUGGAUGGUAAAGCAACAACAAAACAUUUGUCUUUUCCAGCAGCCAUUGUACAGCACAGUGGUAAAACCAGCUGACCAAACAUGCUGGAGCUCAGCUUGGGUUCCCAGGUAAUGGGGCUGGGCUCGGCUGGGGUUGCUAGGUAACGGCACAGUGCCCGUUGAUUGUUUGGGACUCAUUUUCUAAACACCAAAAAACAUCAACUUAUUGCCAGAAAAUGAGUGAGCAGGUAUUUUUUUUCUUAGUGAUUAGACUGUUUCUAGAAGCAGCUGAGACCCAAAUGGAAGUACAAAAAUUUGUGAAAAGUGAAUUUUGCAUAAUAGAUCCUGCUUUAAAACACUGUGUGAACAUAAAUAUAAGAGGUUGCUAAGGGACAGGAAAGUAAUGUUAAGGUCGACAUAAAGGUGAGAGCAUAUGACCUGUUUUAAGCUGUUGCCCUUUUGCUAGCAAGGCAAAACAAUGAGGCUCUUCCUUUUCUUGAACAAGCAGAGCAGCGUUACUAACAUUUCUGAGUGCACAGUAUGACUCUGAAUACGUUAUAAAUUGAAUAAAAGCUCUUAUCUCC